RNAcentral lists this ribosomal RNA (510 nucleotides) under uncultured Corynebacterium sp. RNAcentral's name for it is "bacterial SSU rRNA". It matches the Rfam family "Bacterial small subunit ribosomal RNA", at positions 8 to 530 of the family's 1533-position model. Lineage: Bacteria; Bacillati; Actinomycetota; Actinomycetes; Mycobacteriales; Corynebacteriaceae. The record is from RNAcentral.
AGAGUUUGAUCCUGGCUCAGGACGAACGCUGGCGGCGUGCUUAACACAUGCAAGUCGAACGGAAAGGCCCGGCUUGCUGGGUGCUCGAGUGGCGAACGGGUGAGUAACACGUGGGUGAUCUGCCCCUAACUUCGGGAUAAGCUUGGGAAACUGGGUCUAAUACCGGAUAGGACAAUCSUUUAGUGUCGGUUGUGGAAAGUUUUUUCGGUUAGGGAUGAGCCCGCGGCCUWUCAGCUUGUUGGUGGGGUAAUGGCCUACCAAGGCGUCGACGGGUAGCCGGCCUGAGAGGGUGGACGGCCACAUUGGGACUGAGAUACGGCCCAGACUCCUACGGGAGGCMGCAGUGGGGAAUAUUGCACAAUGGGCGCAAGCCUGAUGCAGCGACGCCGCGUGGGGGAUGACGGCCUUCGGGUUGUAAACCUCUUUCGACAGGGACGAAGCUUUGGUGACGGUACCUGUAUAARAAGCACCGGCUAACUACGUGCCAGCAGCCGCGGUAAUUKYCUWUMG